GUAAUGUCUGGGAAACUGCCUGAUGGAGGGGGAUAACUACUGGAAACGGUAGCUAAUACCGCAUAACGUCGCAAGACCAAAGAGGGGGACCUUCGGGCCUCUUGCCAUCGGAUGUGCCCAGAUGGGAUUAGCUAGUAGGUGGGGUAACGGCUCACCUAGGCGACGAUCCCUAGCUGGUCUGAGAGGAUGACCAGCCACACUGGAACUGAGACACGGUCCAGACUCCUACGGGAGGCAGCAGUGGGGAAUAUUGCACAAUGGGCGCAAGCCUGAUGCAGCCAUGCCGCGUGUAUGAAGAAGGCCUUCGGGUUGUAAAGUACUUUCAGCGGGGAGGAAGGGAGUAAAGUUAAUACCUUUGCUCAUUGACGUUACCCGCAGAAGAAGCACCGGCUAACUCCGUGCCAGCAGCCGCGGUAAUACGGAGGGUGCAAGCGUUAAUCGGAAUUACUGGGCGUAAAGCGCACGCAGGCGGUUUGUUAAGUCAGAUGUGAAAUCCCCGGGCUCAACCUGGGAACUGCAUCUGAUACUGGCAAGCUUGAGUCUCGUAGAGGGGGGUAGAAUUCCAGGUGUAGCGGUGAAAUGCGUAGAGAUCUGGAGGAAUACCGGUGGCGAAGGCGGCCCCCUGGACGAAGACUGACGC
RNAcentral lists this ribosomal RNA (640 nucleotides) under Escherichia fergusonii. RNAcentral describes it as "bacterial SSU rRNA". It matches the Rfam family "Bacterial small subunit ribosomal RNA", at positions 110 to 746 of the family's 1533-position model. RNAcentral also lists the same sequence under 1 other name. Lineage: Bacteria; Pseudomonadati; Pseudomonadota; Gammaproteobacteria; Enterobacterales; Enterobacteriaceae. The record is from RNAcentral.